Long non-coding RNA from Aricia agestis (brown argus), 97 nucleotides. RefSeq lists it as uncharacterized. The record is from RefSeq and is a predicted model, not a curated record. The transcript has 4 exons. Lineage: Eukaryota; Metazoa; Arthropoda; Insecta; Lepidoptera; Lycaenidae.
UUCACAGAUUGUUACAGCGUAAGGGUUGAUUCAGACCGCAACGCGACGCGUAGACGCAUUUCUAAAUGUGUAUGGUUUUGACAGAUUUCAAUUGCGU